Molecule: long non-coding RNA, 30679 nt
Filed under: Brassica napus (rape)
Lineage: Eukaryota; Viridiplantae; Streptophyta; Magnoliopsida; Brassicales; Brassicaceae
Description: long non-coding RNA (BNAP_LNC002156)
Source: RNAcentral
CCUUCCAAGGAAAAGGAUUUGGAAGCUACCUCAUGGAGAUUGUAAACAAAAUGGCCGUAUCAGAAAACGUUUACGAUCUAACAGUGGAAGAGCCAUCCGAAAAGUUCCAGCACAUCCGCACUUGCAUAGACAUAAACCGCUUGCUCGCUUUCGAUCCAAUCAAACCGGCCAUCGAUUCAGCUGUUGAGACUCUCACAAAAGGAAAGCUAUCGAAGAAAGCUCAGAUACCUCGCUUCACUCCACCUUCGGAUGCCGUCGAGAAGGUCCGUGAAGCUCUGAAGAUCAACAAGAAACAGUUCCUCAAAUGCUGGGAGAUCUUGAUAUAUCUCGCGCUUGAUCCUAUCGACAAAUACAUGGAGGAUUACGCAUGUGUCAUCACGAACCAUGUGAGAAUCGAUAUUCUUGGAAAAGAUAUAGAGGCUCCAAAGAAGCAGGUGGUGGAUGUUCCAACGACGUUCGAAGCUGAAGCAUCGUUUGUGGUUUUCAAGUGUGUGAAUGGAGAAGAAGCUAAUAACAGCAAUGUUCAAGUGGAUGAAAACAAACCGGAUCAAGAGCAGCAGCUGAAGCAAUUGGUUGAAGAAAGGAUUCGUGAGAUCAAGUUGGUUGCUGAGAAAGUCUCUAGAAAAUGAGAAUCUGAGUUGAAUAAAAACUUUGAGAGAGAUAUUUAUCAGAAGCUUUUUUGUUGAGUGUUCAAACUCUGUGGUCUUUAAAAAGACAAAUCUGUUUGUAUUCUCUUUGUACCGGUUUGUUACGGAGGUUUGAGUAAACAGUGUAGUUCCGGUUUAGCGGUUUCGUUCGGUUAUGCAACUAUUAGCACAAUUUACAUUCAUACCCGUAGUAAAUGUUUGAGGGCAAUUUCUUAAGUUUUCCUGUAGUGUAGCUGUUGAGUUACGUGCUGGGCCUUUAAUGGGCUCAAAACUUCUAAGGGCGUGAGAGGUUAAUGCUACAUGCUAACUAUAAUGGCACACACACUCAGCCCACUAAAGCCCAUAUAAAUCAUCUAGGUUUAGUUCAGUGUAGCAUAUAAAAUGCUUACUUCUCCCCCUUCUACGCCUUUCUGUCUGUCGACGUUCUUCAAGCCGCAAAGGUACUCUCUCUCGAGCUCAAUUCUUAGUUCUAUGAUCGUUAUAAUCUAGCAGUUUACAGAUCUGUUUAGUUUCCCGAUAAGUGAAUCUACUUAUAAGUGGUAUUUGAUAGGUAAGAGUUUGAAGAAGUACAAACACAGACGAAAGAGAAAAUGUCUGAGAAAAAGGGAAGGAAAGAGGAAGUGGUGACCAGAGAGUACACCAUCAACCUCCACAGACGCCUUCAUAGCUGGUUAGCUUUCUUAAAAACCUUAAUCUCUUCUACGACUGUUCAUGUUGUAGCUGCCUGAUUGUUCAAGUACAUAGUGUUUGUAAUGUGAUCGUCUCUUCCUGCCAUAUUAUAGUUAGGAAUCUUCUUGGACUUCUUGUGGGUUAUUUAAUUAGUGUCUAAAGUUUUAUCCUUUUCUAAAUGUAAAUCAUAUGUUAGGCCUUAAAAAUAAAUCUUUUUCAAAUUCAUUACAUUCAUAAAAAAUGUUGUUUAUGAUAUGGUGAAAAUUAGUAGCAAGCUUCUUUGGCUUACUUUUCGAAACUCAGUUUUGCAAUUGAAUUCACAUUGAAAUGUUGUUUAUAAUAAUCAUAUUCCAUGUGUUCAAUCUUGUUUCAGCUCGCUAUUACUGUUUUGGUGUUUCUUGAAGCAUAAUAAGUAUAACAAACACUGAAUCUUGUUCUGGUUCGGAUUCAAUUUAACCAAAUAUGAUAGUGUUGAAAUGAAAAUGUGAAUUUCAUUUUAAGAUUAGGUUUUAUUUAUCUGCUGAUUGUUUUCUUGAGAUUUAAGGUUUCCUGCUAAUACAUAAUUAAUUUUGUAACAGCACCUUUAAGAAGAAGGCACCAAAGGCCAUUAAGGAGAUCAGGAAGUUUGCAGAGAAAGCCAUGGGGACAAAGGACGUUAGAGUAGACGUGAAGUUGAACAAGCAGAUAUGGAGCAGAGGUAUCAGAGGUCCCCCGAGGAGGAUUAGGGUCCGUGUUGCACGUAAGAGAAAUGACGAUGAAGACGCAAAGGAAGAGUUUUUCUCGCUUGUCACUGUUGCUGAAAUCCCUGCCGAAGGACUCAGUGGACUCGGCACUAAGGUCAUCGAUGAGGAGGAUUGAGAGGAGAGGACUAGUCUGUCACUUAGACAAGUUUUGGUGUUUUUCUUUUAAUUUCUCGUUUUUUUUCAUUCAACAAGUCACAGAUGCAGUUUAUUGGAAAGACUCAUUUUCUAGAUCUUACGAUGAAUCUUUUUAUCUUCUGGAUUUUUUUCUUGAAAUCUCACAUUUUUAAGACGGUCCUAGUGAUAAUCAAGGUGAACCUUAGUUGUCUAUGCAAUCAAUUGAACCUAACAUUUCGUUAAACAUAUAAAUGUCAAAAAAAAAAAACAUAUAAAUGUCAAAUGAAAUAAACUUUAUGUAAUUCAAGAUACGUUCAUAGACAAGUCCGAAUCAAAAAAAUGUUUUCACUUUUCCGUAAUAAAGGAAAACAGAAGGACUCGAAAAUCAGUUCCAUGUGAUGUCAGCGUACCUUUUGAACGAAGACAUCCAUCACGCCAGGCCAGCUCUAGUUCGUUUCGCGUAUAAAAAGAAAAAGACGUCGACAGCAGGAUUCGAACCUGCGCGGGCAAAGCCCAAUUGAUUUCGAGUCAAUCUCCUUAACCACUCGGACAUAUCGACUUUUUGUAUGAUUCUCUCCUUUGACUACCUAUGAUAGUAUUGACCACAUCUGACGCUUCAAAUUAUAGAAAACCAAAAUUCUAUAAAGGCCACAACAUUUGUUUCAACUUUUCUAAGUGAUAAUAUUAUGUAAUAUGUGUUUAUGUGGCUAUCGGUCAAAAAGCUUCUUCCGCCCCCCGGUCUUGAAAUAUAAUUAAGUACUUACAUUUUUCCGGUUCGUGAAACUUAAUUUCUCCAGAUAACCGAACAAAACCAGUUCCAUGUCAUCGUAAAAUAUCCAAAUCGUUCAUUAAGCAACGUAUAAUGUAAAAUUAACCGGAACUGGUUCACAAAACCAGACCGAGCAGCAACAUAUAUAUAAAAAACAUAAAAAUGAGUUUUGUGCAAAGGUAAUCUUCUUAAAGGUCAGCUCUUCCAGGAUAGCGAGGGAAGGGAAUAACGUCUCUGAUGUUGUCCAUUCCUGUCGCAAACAGAACCAUACGCUCGAACCCAAGUCCGAACCCUGAAUGCUUCGCUGUUCCGUAACGUCUCAAGUCCAAGUACCACUCGUAUGGCUCCACUGGUAGUCCCAUCUCCUCAAUUCUGUUCAUACCAACAAAAAAAAAACACAAUCAAAGAAACAUCCAACAUUAAACAAAUUAAUUUCACUUUCACCAACCUUUCCAUGAUAACGUCAAUCCUUUCUUCCCUUUGGCUUCCACCAAUGAGUUCUCCAACCUAAUUAAAAAAGACGCCAUCAAUGUAUACUCUUCCAUGAUUAAAUGAUUCAACUUUACCUUUGGAACGAGGACAUCCAUGGCAGCAACGGUCUUCCCAUCAUCAUUAAGCCUCAUGUAGAAAGCCUUGAUUCCUUUCGGGUAGUUGUAAACAAUCAGAGGCUUCUGAAACACAACCUCUGUCAAGUACCUAUAAGAUAUGAGACAAGACAACAUUAGUAACGUUUUUUCUUGCAUUUUAAGUUGAAAAAUAGUUUUUUAACCUUUCGUGCUCAGAUGCUAAGUCGAUCCCCCACUCCACUGGGUUAACAAACUCCUUCCCUUUCCCCACAGCUUCCUCAAGCAGCUCUAUCGCUUUGGUGUACGUUAACCUACCAAACGGAGUCGACGCAACCAGCUUCAGCCUAUCGAUACACCGGCCAUUAGCUCCAUGUCAUCGUACCGCUUCUCGAGCAGCCACUUGCACAUGUACCUCACGUACGCCUCCGCGCAGUUCAUAUCGUCCUCUAGAUCGGCGAAAGCUAACUCAGGCUCCACCAUCCAGAACUCGGCGAGAUGUCUCGACGUGUGAGAGUUCUCCGCUCGAAAAGUAGGACCGAACGUGUACACGUCGCUCAGACCGCAAGCGUAGGUUUCCACUUGUAAUUGACCUGAGACCGUCAAGAAAGCUUGACGGCCGAAGAAAUCUUGAGUAUAAUCAAUCUUUCCAUCGAGUUUAGGCAAUCCAGGUUUGAGCCUUGACCUCUCUUCGGUCCUGGAUAAGCUCGCUUUUGCUUCGUUGAGUUCAGCAACGGAGGCUGUGAUCGUUUCCUUGCUUGCUUUAGCGGAUUUGAGCUGCGCUACGGCUUCGCCUCUCGCCUUGACGAUGAGUCUGGCGGCUUCGACGUCGGCCUCGGUGGGUGGAGGGUUUUCGAUGAGGUCUCUCUCCAGCUUCUCGGUGUGGCUGAUGAGAGUUGUUACUUGGAACAUCUCUCCAGCUCCUUCGCAGUCGCUUGUUGUGAUGAUUGGGGUUUGAAUGUAGAGGAAACCUUCUUCGUCGAAGAAUGUGUGUGUGGCUAUAGCGAGUGCGUGUCGGAUUCUUGCAAUUGCUGAGAUCUGAAAAACACAGGGAAACAAAAAACAGGACAAUUCACUUAAACCUAACUUUCUGAUCAAGUAAUCAUUUUUCGAAUAAGGCUGUAAAUGUAACCAUCGUCACUCAACCGUAAAGACGAUUAAGAGAUCUGAAACCACAAGGAAGCAAAAACAGGAGACUCUACUUAAACCUAACUGAAAUCAAAUAACUUUCUGAUCAAGUAAUCAUUUUAGACUAAGGAUGCAAAGAAUCUGUAAUCAUCAAUGAAACUGAGGCCAACAAAGACAGACACUCCACUCAAACCUAAUUGAAAUCAAAUAACUUUCUGAUCAAGUAAUCAUUUUCCACUAAGGCUGCAAAGAAUAGGUAAUCAUGAGCGUCACUGAGGCUAGCAAAAACAGGACACACCGCUCAAACCUAAUACUAUAAUCAAAUAACUUUCUGAUCAAGUAAUAGUUUUUUUCGAUUAGGGCUGUAAAUGAAUCUCUAGUAAUCGUCACUGAGGCUACGAAAGCUAGAAGAAUCUCAAUAACUAAACCCUAAACCCAUGAACACUCCACUCAACUCAAACCUAACUUUCUGAUCAAGAAAUCAUUUUUUGAUUAGAUCUGUACAUAAUCUCAAUAACUAAACCAAUCCCAUAACAUAUUCGAACAAAGUAAGUGAUCUUUAUUACCGAAUUGGUCCUAGAACGAAGAUGAGGAAACUCUCUCAACCUCUCAAGAGUCAGCUUCGUCUUAGGAAUCGGGUAAGUAGCAGUAUCAACCGUCCCCACAUCAAUCACCUCCACAACACUAAGCUCAACCUUCUGCUUCGUCCCUUUACCUUCGGGAGGAAUCUUCAAGCACCCAUCGACGGUCACGCAAGUCCCCGUCGCAACCAGCUUGGUGAGAUCUGAAACCGAAGCGUCCACCAUAACCUGAAGAUUCGCAGGGCACGAUCCGUCGUUAACCUCGAGGAAAGCGAAAGCGCCUUUCCCUUGCUCCCUCCCCGUUUUGACCCACCCGCUGAUUCGGACCUUUUGACCCGCGAGUCCGGCUCCGCCGUCGGGUCGGCCCAGAAUCGAGCGGAUGCGGACUCGGUCUGAGAACCGCGCUUUUUGCACUGUUGAAGAUGAGAUUCCAUCGCUGGAUAUGGAUACGGCGGGUACUUGAUGUGCCGGUGGUGGAACCUCGUCGGCCAUGAGUUUGGGGGCGCUGGAGACAGAACCCUAGAACAGCUAAGCAAGAACAUAACGUGAAGGGGUAUGAUUGGAAAUUAACACCCCGCGGAUUCUAGUGGUUGUGGUUUGUAAUUUCGUAUCAUAAGAUUCUUAAACAAUUAGUUUACUAAUCUUUCCACCUCCAUAUAAAAUAUUCGUAAGAUAAUCAAAUUACUAUAGCUGGUUAAUGUUUCGUUUUUUUUUAAUAAAUUCUUGUAUUUGUUUAUGAUUUGUAUAUUAUAUAAAUAAAUAAAAUAUGAUGUUGAGUUCUAUUAUAUUAUCUUCGGUGUUCAAAAAAGAAGAAGAUAAUAUGAUUUCAAAUAUGAUAGUUAGGUCGGUAACAUUGUAGAACAAUUGUUUAAAAUAUUUUAAGUUGGUUAGCAAUUUUCACACCUGCACAAAAAAAAAAUGAAGAGAAUCAAACAACUCGAAUAAACAAAAGACUCACCCAAUAUCUAACGUACCUGGCCAUCGUGACCACGUAACGUUGUAUUCAAUUAUGAUGCAUCUUAUUUUUUUCCCUCAGGAUAAUAAAAUUUAAGAAGUUUCAAGGUGUAUUGGGACGUCGUCAAAAGUCAACCACAUGCCUCCAUAGGACUUCCAAAAUAACAGAAUAAUUUCCCAGGCAUCACGGUCAUCGUAUCAGUAAGAGAACGAUAUUAAUUCUCCCUUAUCAUUUAUUAGAAACAUUUUUGUUGUCAUCUUCUUCUUGACUUUUCCAACCAAAAUACAUCCUCCCGUCUGUUCUUUUUUUUUCUGGUCAACACACUCUUGAUCAUUUAUGGGUGAAACAAGAUCCAUGAUCACGUUCUUCUUGUUGGUGACCUUCCUACAGAUCAUCUUCCUAGCUCACGGAGCAGCAGGAGAGACGACCACAGAGUUCAUUUUUCAAGGCUUUAAAGUAAACCAAUCAAAGCUUCAAUUAGAAGAAGAUGCAACCAUCACGCCCAACGGACUACUAAGGCUAACCAAUCGAAACUCAGACCGCGCGGGAACGGCUUUUUACAACAAACCGGUUAGACUGCUCGACAAUAACUCCACGGUUCGUUCUUUUAGCACUUCCUUCAUCUUUGUCAUCAUCCCUUCAAGCUCAAACAACGGAGGUUUCGGGUUUACAUUCACACUAUCCCCAACCCCAAACCGUCCAGACGCGGAGACCGCGCAGUACUUGGGUCUUCUCAACGAAGACGACGACGGUGAUCCGGAUAAUCACGUAUUCGCAGUGGAGUUCGACACGGUUCAAGGAUACAAAGACAGCACAGAUCGAAUAGGCAACCACAUCGGUCUAAAUUUCAACAGUCUCUCUUCACAAAUUGUGGGCUUUACUGCUAUUUAUAAGUUCUAUCGUUACCCCGACAGGUUAAGGAUGCGACUCAGCCAGGUAUAAAAAUAUAUACCUCAAUGAUCUCAGUUCUUUUUGCAUUCUUUUGAGUUGACUUGUUGCGCUGAUUCUUCGUUUUGAUUCCAGAUCCUGGUCCUGCCUUCCUUCCAAGGAAAAGGAUUUGGAAGCUACCUCAUGGAGAUUGUAAACAAAAUGGCCGUAUCAGAAAACGUUUACGAUCUAACAGUGGAAGAGCCAUCCGAAAAGUUCCAGCACAUCCGCACUUGCAUAGACAUAAACCGCUUGCUCGCUUUCGAUCCAAUCAAACCGGCCAUCGAUUCAGCUGUUGAGACUCUCACAAAAGGAAAGCUAUCGAAGAAAGCUCAGAUACCUCGCUUCACUCCACCUUCGGAUGCCGUCGAGAAGGUCCGUGAAGCUCUGAAGAUCAACAAGAAACAGUUCCUCAAAUGCUGGGAGAUCUUGAUAUAUCUCGCGCUUGAUCCUAUCGACAAAUACAUGGAGGAUUACGCAUGUGUCAUCACGAACCAUGUGAGAAUCGAUAUUCUUGGAAAAGAUAUAGAGGCUCCAAAGAAGCAGGUGGUGGAUGUUCCAACGACGUUCGAAGCUGAAGCAUCGUUUGUGGUUUUCAAGUGUGUGAAUGGAGAAGAAGCUAAUAACAGCAAUGUUCAAGUGGAUGAAAACAAACCGGAUCAAGAGCAGCAGCUGAAGCAAUUGGUUGAAGAAAGGAUUCGUGAGAUCAAGUUGGUUGCUGAGAAAGUCUCUAGAAAAUGAGAAUCUGAGUUGAAUAAAAACUUUGAGAGAGAUAUUUAUCAGAAGCUUUUUUGUUGAGUGUUCAAACUCUGUGGUCUUUAAAAAGACAAAUCUGUUUGUAUUCUCUUUGUACCGGUUUGUUACGGAGGUUUGAGUAAACAGUGUAGUUCCGGUUUAGCGGUUUCGUUCGGUUAUGCAACUAUUAGCACAAUUUACAUUCAUACCCGUAGUAAAUGUUUGAGGGCAAUUUCUUAAGUUUUCCUGUAGUGUAGCUGUUGAGUUACGUGCUGGGCCUUUAAUGGGCUCAAAACUUCUAAGGGCGUGAGAGGUUAAUGCUACAUGCUAACUAUAAUGGCACACACACUCAGCCCACUAAAGCCCAUAUAAAUCAUCUAGGUUUAGUUCAGUGUAGCAUAUAAAAUGCUUACUUCUCCCCCUUCUACGCCUUUCUGUCUGUCGACGUUCUUCAAGCCGCAAAGGUACUCUCUCUCGAGCUCAAUUCUUAGUUCUAUGAUCGUUAUAAUCUAGCAGUUUACAGAUCUGUUUAGUUUCCCGAUAAGUGAAUCUACUUAUAAGUGGUAUUUGAUAGGUAAGAGUUUGAAGAAGUACAAACACAGACGAAAGAGAAAAUGUCUGAGAAAAAGGGAAGGAAAGAGGAAGUGGUGACCAGAGAGUACACCAUCAACCUCCACAGACGCCUUCAUAGCUGGUUAGCUUUCUUAAAAACCUUAAUCUCUUCUACGACUGUUCAUGUUGUAGCUGCCUGAUUGUUCAAGUACAUAGUGUUUGUAAUGUGAUCGUCUCUUCCUGCCAUAUUAUAGUUAGGAAUCUUCUUGGACUUCUUGUGGGUUAUUUAAUUAGUGUCUAAAGUUUUAUCCUUUUCUAAAUGUAAAUCAUAUGUUAGGCCUUAAAAAUAAAUCUUUUUCAAAUUCAUUACAUUCAUAAAAAAUGUUGUUUAUGAUAUGGUGAAAAUUAGUAGCAAGCUUCUUUGGCUUACUUUUCGAAACUCAGUUUUGCAAUUGAAUUCACAUUGAAAUGUUGUUUAUAAUAAUCAUAUUCCAUGUGUUCAAUCUUGUUUCAGCUCGCUAUUACUGUUUUGGUGUUUCUUGAAGCAUAAUAAGUAUAACAAACACUGAAUCUUGUUCUGGUUCGGAUUCAAUUUAACCAAAUAUGAUAGUGUUGAAAUGAAAAUGUGAAUUUCAUUUUAAGAUUAGGUUUUAUUUAUCUGCUGAUUGUUUUCUUGAGAUUUAAGGUUUCCUGCUAAUACAUAAUUAAUUUUGUAACAGCACCUUUAAGAAGAAGGCACCAAAGGCCAUUAAGGAGAUCAGGAAGUUUGCAGAGAAAGCCAUGGGGACAAAGGACGUUAGAGUAGACGUGAAGUUGAACAAGCAGAUAUGGAGCAGAGGUAUCAGAGGUCCCCCGAGGAGGAUUAGGGUCCGUGUUGCACGUAAGAGAAAUGACGAUGAAGACGCAAAGGAAGAGUUUUUCUCGCUUGUCACUGUUGCUGAAAUCCCUGCCGAAGGACUCAGUGGACUCGGCACUAAGGUCAUCGAUGAGGAGGAUUGAGAGGAGAGGACUAGUCUGUCACUUAGACAAGUUUUGGUGUUUUUCUUUUAAUUUCUCGUUUUUUUUCAUUCAACAAGUCACAGAUGCAGUUUAUUGGAAAGACUCAUUUUCUAGAUCUUACGAUGAAUCUUUUUAUCUUCUGGAUUUUUUUCUUGAAAUCUCACAUUUUUAAGACGGUCCUAGUGAUAAUCAAGGUGAACCUUAGUUGUCUAUGCAAUCAAUUGAACCUAACAUUUCGUUAAACAUAUAAAUGUCAAAAAAAAAAAACAUAUAAAUGUCAAAUGAAAUAAACUUUAUGUAAUUCAAGAUACGUUCAUAGACAAGUCCGAAUCAAAAAAAUGUUUUCACUUUUCCGUAAUAAAGGAAAACAGAAGGACUCGAAAAUCAGUUCCAUGUGAUGUCAGCGUACCUUUUGAACGAAGACAUCCAUCACGCCAGGCCAGCUCUAGUUCGUUUCGCGUAUAAAAAGAAAAAGACGUCGACAGCAGGAUUCGAACCUGCGCGGGCAAAGCCCAAUUGAUUUCGAGUCAAUCUCCUUAACCACUCGGACAUAUCGACUUUUUGUAUGAUUCUCUCCUUUGACUACCUAUGAUAGUAUUGACCACAUCUGACGCUUCAAAUUAUAGAAAACCAAAAUUCUAUAAAGGCCACAACAUUUGUUUCAACUUUUCUAAGUGAUAAUAUUAUGUAAUAUGUGUUUAUGUGGCUAUCGGUCAAAAAGCUUCUUCCGCCCCCCGGUCUUGAAAUAUAAUUAAGUACUUACAUUUUUCCGGUUCGUGAAACUUAAUUUCUCCAGAUAACCGAACAAAACCAGUUCCAUGUCAUCGUAAAAUAUCCAAAUCGUUCAUUAAGCAACGUAUAAUGUAAAAUUAACCGGAACUGGUUCACAAAACCAGACCGAGCAGCAACAUAUAUAUAAAAAACAUAAAAAUGAGUUUUGUGCAAAGGUAAUCUUCUUAAAGGUCAGCUCUUCCAGGAUAGCGAGGGAAGGGAAUAACGUCUCUGAUGUUGUCCAUUCCUGUCGCAAACAGAACCAUACGCUCGAACCCAAGUCCGAACCCUGAAUGCUUCGCUGUUCCGUAACGUCUCAAGUCCAAGUACCACUCGUAUGGCUCCACUGGUAGUCCCAUCUCCUCAAUUCUGUUCAUACCAACAAAAAAAAAACACAAUCAAAGAAACAUCCAACAUUAAACAAAUUAAUUUCACUUUCACCAACCUUUCCAUGAUAACGUCAAUCCUUUCUUCCCUUUGGCUUCCACCAAUGAGUUCUCCAACCUAAUUAAAAAAGACGCCAUCAAUGUAUACUCUUCCAUGAUUAAAUGAUUCAACUUUACCUUUGGAACGAGGACAUCCAUGGCAGCAACGGUCUUCCCAUCAUCAUUAAGCCUCAUGUAGAAAGCCUUGAUUCCUUUCGGGUAGUUGUAAACAAUCAGAGGCUUCUGAAACACAACCUCUGUCAAGUACCUAUAAGAUAUGAGACAAGACAACAUUAGUAACGUUUUUUCUUGCAUUUUAAGUUGAAAAAUAGUUUUUUAACCUUUCGUGCUCAGAUGCUAAGUCGAUCCCCCACUCCACUGGGUUAACAAACUCCUUCCCUUUCCCCACAGCUUCCUCAAGCAGCUCUAUCGCUUUGGUGUACGUUAACCUACCAAACGGAGUCGACGCAACCAGCUUCAGCCUAUCGAUACACCGGCCAUUAGCUCCAUGUCAUCGUACCGCUUCUCGAGCAGCCACUUGCACAUGUACCUCACGUACGCCUCCGCGCAGUUCAUAUCGUCCUCUAGAUCGGCGAAAGCUAACUCAGGCUCCACCAUCCAGAAUUCAGCGAGAUGCCUCGAGGUGUGAGAGUUCUCUGCUCGAAAAGUAGGACCAAAAGUGUACACGUCGCUCAGACCGCACGCGUAGGUUUCCACUUGUAACUGACCUGAGACCGUUAAGAAAGCUUGGCGGCCGAAGAAGUCUUGAGUGUAAUCAAUCUUUCCAUCGAGUUUAGGUAGUCCGGGUUUGAGCUUUGACCUCUCUUCGGUUCUGGAUAAGCUCGCUUUUGCUUCGUUGAGUUCAGCAACGGAGGCGGUGAUCGUUUCCUUGCUUGCUUUAGCGGAUUUGAGGUGGGCGACGGCUUCGCCUCUCGCCUUGACGAUGAGUCUGGCGGCUUCGACGUCGGCCUCGGUGGGAGGAGGGUUUUCGAUGAGGUCUCUCUCUAGCUUCUCGGUGUGGCUGAUGAGAGUUGUUACUUGGAACAUCUCUCCAGCGCCUUCGCAGUCACUUGUUGUGAUGAUUGGGGUUUGAAUGUAGAGGAAACCUUCUUCGUCGAAGAAUGUGUGUGUGGCUAUAGCGAGAGCGUGUCGGAUUCUUGCAAUGGCUGAGAUCUGAAAAACACAGGGAAACAAAAACAGGGCAAUUAUUCAAACCUAACUUUCUGAUCAAGUAAUCAUCUUUGGUCAAGUCAGCAAAGAAACUCAGUAUCUAAAUCAAACACAGGAACAGUUUCAAUCAAAAGAAUUCUUUUUGUAUACGACAGGCGAACAUGAAUACAGGAGACUCCACUCAACCUAAUUGAAAUAAACUAACUUUCUGAUCAAUUAACCAUUCUAGACUAAGGCUGCAAAGAAUCUGUAAUCAUCAUCGUCACUGAGGCUAACAAAAACAAGACACUCCACUCCACUCAAAUCCAAUAGAGAUCAGAUAACUUUCUGCUCAAGAAAUAGCUUUUUCGAUUAGGGCUGUAACAGAAUCUGUAAUCAUCGUCACUAAAGCUAAGAAAGCUAGAAGAAUCUCAAUGACUGCAUCAAACCCAUGAACACUCGACUCCACUACACUCAAACCUAACUUUCUAAUCAAGUAAUCAUUUUUUGAUUAAGUCUCUACAUAAUCUCAAUAACUAAACCAAACCCAUAACAGAUUCAAUCAAAAGAAGUGAUCUUUAUUACCGAAUUGGUCCUAGAACGAAGAUGAGGAAACUCUCUCAACCUCUCAAGAGUCAGCUUCGUCUUCGGAAUCGGGUACGUAGCAGUAUCCACAGUCCCCACAUCAACCACCUCCACUACACUAAGCUCAACCUUCUGCUUCGUCCCUUUCCCUUCCGGAGGAAUCUUCAGACACCCAUCAACAGUCACACAAGUCCCCGUCGCAACCAGCUUGGAGAGAUCCGACACAGAGGCGUCCACCAUAACCUGAAGAUUCGCAGGGCACGAUCCAUCGUUCACCUCGAGGAAAGCGAAAGCGCCUUUCCCUUGCUCCCUUCCCGUUUUGACCCACCCGCUGAUUCGGACCUUCUGACCCGCGAGCCCGGCUCCGCCGUCGGGUCGGCCCAGGAUCGAGCGGAUGCGGACUCGGUCUGAGAACCGCGCUUUUUGCACUGUAACCUCGUCGGCCAUUUUGGUAUGAGUGGUGAUGAGUUUGGGGGCGCUGGAGACAGAACCCUAAAACAGCUAAGCAAGAACAUAACAUUUAGGGGUAUAAUUGGAAAUAUACACCCCGCAGAUUCUAGUGGUGGUGAUUUGUAAUUUCGUAGAUUCUUAAACAAUUAGCUUACGAAUCUUUCCAGCUCCAUAUAAAUAUUCGUAAAAUAAUCAAAUUGUGGGAGGAGGGUUUUCGAUGAGGUCUCUCUCUAGCUUCUCGGUGUGGCUGAUGAGAGUUGUUACUUGGAACAUCUCUCCAGCGCCUUCGCAGUCACUUGUUGUGAUGAUUGGGGUUUGAAUGUAGAGGAAACCUUCUUCGUCGAAGAAUGUGUGUGUGGCUAUAGCGAGAGCGUGUCGGAUUCUUGCAAUGGCUGAGAUCUGAAAAACACAGGGAAACAAAAACAGGGCAAUUAUUCAAACCUAACUUUCUGAUCAAGUAAUCAUCUUUGGUCAAGUCAGCAAAGAAACUCAGUAUCUAAAUCAAACACAGGAACAGUUUCAAUCAAAAGAAUUCUUUUUGUAUACGACAGGCGAACAUGAAUACAGGAGACUCCACUCAACCUAAUUGAAAUAAACUAACUUUCUGAUCAAUUAACCAUUCUAGACUAAGGCUGCAAAGAAUCUGUAAUCAUCAUCGUCACUGAGGCUAACAAAAACAAGACACUCCACUCCACUCAAAUCCAAUAGAGAUCAGAUAACUUUCUGCUCAAGAAAUAGCUUUUUCGAUUAGGGCUGUAACAGAAUCUGUAAUCAUCGUCACUAAAGCUAAGAAAGCUAGAAGAAUCUCAAUGACUGCAUCAAACCCAUGAACACUCGACUCCACUACACUCAAACCUAACUUUCUAAUCAAGUAAUCAUUUUUUGAUUAAGUCUCUACAUAAUCUCAAUAACUAAACCAAACCCAUAACAGAUUCAAUCAAAAGAAGUGAUCUUUAUUACCGAAUUGGUCCUAGAACGAAGAUGAGGAAACUCUCUCAACCUCUCAAGAGUCAGCUUCGUCUUCGGAAUCGGGUACGUAGCAGUAUCCACAGUCCCCACAUCAACCACCUCCACUACACUAAGCUCAACCUUCUGCUUCGUCCCUUUCCCUUCCGGAGGAAUCUUCAGACACCCAUCAACAGUCACACAAGUCCCCGUCGCAACCAGCUUGGAGAGAUCCGACACAGAGGCGUCCACCAUAACCUGAAGAUUCGCAGGGCACGAUCCAUCGUUCACCUCGAGGAAAGCGAAAGCGCCUUUCCCUUGCUCCCUUCCCGUUUUGACCCACCCGCUGAUUCGGACCUUCUGACCCGCGAGCCCGGCUCCGCCGUCGGGUCGGCCCAGGAUCGAGCGGAUGCGGACUCGGUCUGAGAACCGCGCUUUUUGCACUGUAACCUCGUCGGCCAUUUUGGUAUGAGUGGUGAUGAGUUUGGGGGCGCUGGAGACAGAACCCUAAAACAGCUAAGCAAGAACAUAACAUUUAGGGGUAUAAUUGGAAAUAUACACCCCGCAGAUUCUAGUGGUGGUGAUUUGUAAUUUCGUAGAUUCUUAAACAAUUAGCUUACGAAUCUUUCCAGCUCCAUAUAAAUAUUCGUAAAAUAAUCAAAUUACUAUAGUUGGUUAAUGUUUCGUUUUAAUUUUUUGCUUUUUUGAAAAAUCCUAAUUUAUUUUAUGAUUUGUAUAUUAUAAAAAUAAAUAAAUUAUGAUGUUGAGUUAUAUUAUAUUAUCUUCAGUGUUCAAAAAAGAAGAAGAAGAUAAUAUGAUUUCAGAUAUGAUAGUUUAGGUCGGUAACAUUGUAGAACAAUUGUUUAAAAUAUUUUAAGUUGGUUAGCAAUUUUCACACCUGCACAAAAGAAAAAAAAAAAGAAUGAAGAGAAUCAAACACCUUGAAUAAACAAAAGUCUCACCCAAUAUCUAACGUACCUGGCCAUCGUGACCACGUAACGUUGUAUUCAAUUAUAAUGCAUCUUAUUUUUUUUCCCUCAGGAUAAUAAAGUUUAAGAAGGUUCAAGGUGUGUUUGGACGUCGUCAAAAGUCAACCACAUGCCUCCAUAGGACUUUCAAAAUAACAAAAUCAUUUCCCAAACAUCACGAUCAUCGUAUCAAUAAGAGAACGAUAUUAAUUGUCCCUUAUCAUUAUUAGAAACAUUUUUGUUGUCAUCUUCUUCUUUGACUUUUCUAACCAAAAUACAUCCUCCCGUCUGUUCUUUUUCUGGUCAACACACUCUUGAACAUUUAUGGGUGAAGCAAGAUCCAUGAUCGCUCUCUUCUCGUUGGUGAUCUUACUACAGAUCAUCGUCCUAGCUCACAGAGCAACAUCAGAGACGAAUACAGAGUUCAUUUUUCAAGGCUUUAAAGUAAACCAAUCAAAACUUCAAUUAGAAGAAGAUGCAACCAUCACGCCCAACGGACUACUAAGGCUCACCAAUCGACACUCAGACCGCGCGGGAACGGCUUUCUACAACAAACCGGUUAGACUGCUCGACAAUAACUCCACGGUUCGUUCUUUUAGCACUUCCUUCAUCUUUGUCAUCAUCCCUUCAAGCUCAAACAACGGAGGUUUCGGGUUUACAUUCACACUAUCCCCAACCCCAAACCGUCCAGACGCGGAGACCGCGCAGUACUUGGGUCUUCUCAACGAAGACGACGACGGUGAUCCGGAUAAUCACGUAUUCGCAGUGGAGUUCGACACGGUUCAAGGAUACAAAGACAGCACAGAUCGAAUAGGCAACCACAUCGGUCUAAAUUUCAACAGUCUCUCUUCACACGUCCAAGAACCCGUGGCUUACUACGACAAAGAGGGGCAUAAAGAAGAUUUUCAACUCACGAGCGGCGAGCCAAUCCAAGUCUUUAUGGAUUACCACGGACGAACCAGAACUCUUACCAUCACUGUCUACCCGACCAGACUCGGAUCUAAGCCGACAACUCCUUUGAUCUCACAAAAAGUUCCUAAACUGUUGGAGAUCGUGCAAGAAGAAAUGUUUGUCGGAUUCACGGCUGCCACAGGGGACAAAUCUAGUGCGCAUUACGUGAUGGGUUGGAGUUUCUCAACCGGUCCGGUCCCAGCAGCUACGUUGAAUCUAACGGACCUUCCUCCUCCGCCACGAAAUACGGCGAAGAAGAGAGGCUUAAACAAAGAGAUCAUCUCCCUGGUCGUGUCUUUAACUACAGUUAUAACCAUCAUGUUAGUGUUAUUGUUUAUCUUGAUGAUGUACAAAAGACGAUUACAAGAGGAGGUUCUCGAGGAUUGGGAACUCGAUCAUCCACACAGGUUUCGAUACAAAGAUCUCUACGCAGCUACGGAUGGAUUCAAGGAUAACAGAAUCAUAGGAACCGGAGGGUUCGGAACUGUUUACAAAGGAAUCAUAACCACCACGUCAUCAUCAUCUCCGUCCUCUGAUGAAAUCGCAGUGAAGAAGAUAACUCCAAACAGCAUACAAGGCGUUCGAGAGUUUGUGGCUGAGAUCGAGAGUUUAGGCCGUUUGAGGCAUAAAAAUUUAGUCAACCUACAAGGAUGGUGCAAACACGGAAACGACCUAUUGCUAAUUUACGAUUAUAUCCCUAACGGAAGCUUGGACUCGCUGUUAUACAGUAAACCGAGGCUAUGCGGCGCCGUUUUGACCUGGGACGCGCGUUUUCAAAUCGCUAAAGGAAUCGCGUCUGGGCUGCUCUACCUCCACGAGGAGUGGGAGAAGAUCGUGAUCCACAGAGACGUUAAACCGAGCAACGUCCUCAUCGACGAUCAGAUGAACCCUAGGCUCGGAGACUUCGGGCUCGCCAGGCUCUACGAGCGCGGAUCCCUCUCCCACACCACCGUCGUCGUCGGCACGAUCGGGUACAUGGCGCCGGAGCUCACGCGCAACGGAAACUCCUCCUCCGCCUCCGACGUUUUCGCGUUCGGCGUUGUGCUGCUGGAGAUCGUCUCCGGGAGGAAGCCGACGGACUCCGGGAGCUUCUUCUUGGCCGAUUGGGUUAUGGAGAUGCACGCGAGCGGGCAGGUGCUACGCGCGGUGGACUCGAGGCUCGGAUCGGGUUACGACGAGGAGGAGGCGAGGCUGGCGCUCGUGGUGGGGCUGCUGUGCUGCCACCCGAAGAGGGGGUCUCGGCCGGCGAUGAGAAUGGUGCUGAGGUACCUGAACGGGGACGAAGGUGUUCCUGAGGUUGAGGUGUACUCGCAUUCUUCAAGUAGAUACUCCCUUCCCUCCGAUUUGAAAGAAUGUUGAUUGUUUUGGAUUUUAGUUUUCUGUUUUCAAAUUUAUAUGUUAUGGAUUAAUGUAUAGCAUUUUUAACAGAUUUCUGUAAAAUACUUUUUUUCUGUUUCACUUUCAUGUAUAUUCCAGAUUUUCACAAGUAUUAAUAAAAUAUAUUAAAUUUCAGUGUUAAGUAUAUAUUUUUGUGAUUAUAUAUCCUCAGAAUUCUAAACUAACAGAAAUUUAUUAAAUGCAAUUAUUAUUUUUAUUUACAAAUGAUCAUUUAUAAUUAAUAAAAUAUGUAUUAAAAUGUAAAAGUAUAUUUUUAAAACAAUUUUUCUUCUAUGCAUUGUAAGAAGCGUAGUAUUUUUUUAACUCAUUUUGUUUAAUUCUUUAAAUUGCUAUUUUUUGCUCCCUCUGUUCAUAAAUAUAAAAUGUUUAGUUAAAACACACACAUAAAGAAAAAUUAAUUUUUGUCUAGAAAAUAACAUUAAAACUAUAAAUUAAUGAUACUCAACCAAUUACAAAAUAAAUUAUUAAAUAUGAUUGGUUGCACAGUUUUUAAUAAAGUAAAGUUACAUAGAAAAAUGAAAACUUCUUAUAUAUUAAAACAUUAAAAUUAUUUAAAACAUUCUACAUUUAGGAACGGAGGGAGUAUGUUGUUAUAGAGAGAGAGAGAGCAAUAAAUAGAACAAUAUUUCCGAAAAGUAUACACUAAUAAAUUACAUAUAUUUGAAAUUUAUUUGUUAUAAAGAAAAAGAAAAAAAUACAGUAUAGAUACUAUCAAUCUUUGUACACACAUUGGUUCUCCCUGUUCAAAAACGCGGGUACUACGGGUGAUUAGUCGGCGAGGAGGCGCUCGGCGAUGCUCGGCCUGGCGAGUUGGCAGUAGUCGGCCCAUAAAUCGACAACAACUUCUUUUUUUUUUUUUUUUUAAAUGUUUGAAUGGUUAGAAUCUUGUAUUUUGAUGUGAGAUCUAUAGGUUUUAAGUAUGAAAACAUGAAAACACACCAAAAUUUGAUGAUAUGUAUGAUUAUAAACGUUUUACUGUAAAAUUAAAAACCCUAAACAUUAUUUGGAAAAAUAAAGACGAAAUGAUGCUAGUGCCUUCUAUUUAAGGAAAAAAAAAUUAGAAAGAAGAAAAACGCGUCGCUCUAGGAUCAAACAAGGUUCUUAUGCUGAGCCGAGAUUAGUAACCUUGAAUAUUUGUCUAUUGUCAUGCAAACUAACUAAUGAUUCAUAUAUAUAUUUUUAGAAAUAAAAAUAUAUAUAAAACUAGGCUCCAAUCAAUUGUUAACUCGUUAGGUCCAUAUCGUUUGUCUGACUAGCGUUUACCGUAGUUCCGGAAAGAGCUCUGAUUAAGUGAGAUCAAGUGAAAAAGAUGCAUAGAAUACUAAAAACUAGGUUAAGAUCCGCACCUUGCGCGGAAUGAACAUUAUAUAUAAAAAUUAUUUUAUGUAUUAAAUAUUUUUACAUAUUAUAAAAUAAGAAAUAUAUAUUGAAUAAUUAAAAGUCGAUAACUAUUAGAUAUAUAAUUAAAUUGGUGUGAACAUAUAAAUCAAUUUUAUUAAUCCAAAUUCUUUUUUAUAUUUGAUAGGAUAAGUAAUUAAAUUUAAAUGAUACUAACAUACAUAGUAUAUUUUAGUAUAUUUUUAAUAUUAAUGUCUAUUAAAUGAUGAUUUCUACUCAUAUAUUUUUUUGAUCAUAUGUAUUUUUUGUAGAAAAUUUUUUAAAUUACUGAUAAAAAAAUUUUCAUUGUGGAAUUAAUAGUUUUAGUAAUUUAUAUUUUUUAAAAAUAAGUUGUCAAUGUUCGUUCAAAACUUUUAUCAAAAAAAUUGUUCAAAGUAAAUUUUGAAACUAAAAUAUUUAUGUAUUUUAUAUGGUUUAUAGUUUAAUUUAAAACAAUAUAUAUAUAUAUAUAUUAAUAUAAUUGAUUAAAUUUGACUUUUUACUUAUAUAAUUUUAUAAUCAUUUGUAUUUUUUCAUAACAAAAAUUUUAAACCAUGGAUCACAAAAUUUGAAUGUGAGGCUUUUAACAGUUUUAAUAAUUUAUAGUCGUUUUUAAAAAUUCAAAAUAUAACAUAUACAUAAAAAUCUAUCUUUAUUAUAUGGUUAUUGUGGUUGUUUAAUUUAUUUAAUAGUUUUAAAUUAAACAAAUAUGAUAGAAGAUACACUAUUUUUUUUUAUCAAAUCUUUAUUAUUCAAAAUCAUUAAUUGCCAUAUAUACUUUAGCCACAUUAGACAAUUCCGUAAAUUUUAUUUAAGGAAAUAAUAAAGUACAUUAAUAAUGAAUUUGUUUUUAGUUUAAUAAAAAAAUUAUUAUAUAAUUAGAUGAGCUAACAUAUUUCCCUAAUGUUUCUAAGAAUCAUCAUAAUGAUGACACGUGGAUACAAAAAGAAGCUGUAAUACUUCUCAAAUAAUAUAUAAGAGAUAUAUUUUAUCAUUGGGCCUUAUGCCUCCUAAAAGUAAUUUUUACUAUGGGUCUAUCUUUAUAACCUCACGUAUAUAAAAGCUCUUAAAAUGUUCUUUAUUAUAAGGCCCAAAAAAAUCUCAAAGUCAGGUAUAAAUAAAUAUUAUCAGCACCAAAAACCCUAACUCUGAGAUUACGCACUCCUUUCAGCUUAACGCAGCCGUCGGAAGAAAAAGCAGAGAAGCAAAUCAGCAGCCAUGGGUAAUCCUCCUCAUAGCUUCUAGUAUAAUUUUUGUGCUACAGCAUUUGUGAAAAUCUAAUUCGUUUUAUUUGGUGAGAUGUUUCUAUACAUUUUGCCAUUAGAUUGAACGGUUAGUGUUUGUUGAUCUCAGGAAAAGUACACGGAUCGUUGGCACGUGCCGGGAAGGUUAGAGGGCAGACACCGAAGGUAGCGAAGCAAGAUAAGAAGAAGAAGCCUAGAGGACGCGCUCACAAGCGUCUCCAGCACAAUCGCCGUUUCGUUACCGCUGGUAUUUUCUCCGAUCCUUUGCUUAUUUGAUUACGCUUUGUGCGUUUAUUGAUUACACUCUUACGUUGUUCAGUUUAAUUGAAUUGGGAUUUGGGAUUAUUAGAAAUAAUCUACAGAAAUGUAUGAACAAGCUCAAUGUUAAUAGUUCUGUUUGUUGUUUUAUAUACUUUUUUGUUUGAAAAUGUUUUAUUACAUUGAUUUAUAUGUUUGGUAAUUGAUUUUUGCAGUUGUUGGUUUCGGUAAGAAGAGAGGACCCAACUCUUCUGAGAAGUAGAGAAGAAGAUUGAUGAUAUGCAUUGAAGAUUCUCCGUUGCUCUUUUUGUAACUUAAAUCUUUCUUCUUUUGUUUUAGUAAUGUAUCUUUGGUACUUUAUAUGUUUUAAUUCCAUGCUAUGAAAUACGAUUUUAGUUUUGAAUCUGAUGAUCAACCUCCAAAACAAACCAAUCAUGUGUUUAAUUUUUUUUUUGAUCAACUGGGUUUAAUUAUUUAGAAGAUUGAUAAUUCGACAAGAGUCUUAAAUGGUUUUAUUGAAAUAUCCAAUGAAAACUAUGAAGAAAGUUGUAAUAAAACCAGACGGUGGUUUUAGAGUUCGUCUUUGGGUGAGUCGGACCCUUUAGAGGCCUUGUCUUCGAGGUAUCGUACAGCCAUCGAUGCAUGAAUUGCAGCACCGUACGGGAGAGCAUCUUCGUUGACUGUAUAGAGCGAUGAGUGAGGAGACGCAUAUCUUUUCGUCUCAUCUUGCAUUCCAAGGAAAGAGAAGUGGCCAGGGAUUGCUUCUGCAAAGUAGGAGAAGUCUUCGCCUCCCAUUAUAGGCGAUACUUCCACAAAGGAGUCUUCACCCAACAAAUCUCUGACCAGGUUCUUGAACUGCUUGUAUAAAUUCAUAUUGUUUACGGUUGGUGGGACAGGUUCUUUACCGUUUGGUUUUAGAUUCACGGAUGCAUUGCACCGGUUAACUGUUGCUUGCUUGGUAAUAACCUAGAAUCACAAGAUGAAACCGGGGUUUGGUUAAACUGGAAAAUCUAACAAAUGUGCAAUGAAUCUUGAAUCAAAAUCACCUCUUUGAUUCUUUCUUGAAACUGCGAAAAACCACUAAAGGCUCGGAGAGUUCCUCCUAUAGUGAUUGAAUCAGGGAUGACAUUGAAGGCAUUGCCUCCAUGAAGCUUAGAAACUGUAACCACCUACAGAAACAAUGAGUUGUGUUGGAAGAAAAGCCAAGAGCAAGUAGAUGAGUUCUAGAAACAAAAAGAAAUGGAACCUUUGAAUCCAAAGGGUCGGUUUCACGUGAAACCAGAUGUUGAAGACUUAGGACAACACUUGAAGCUGCAAUAACUGGGUCUAUGGUAUGAUGGGGGAUGGCGGCAUGACCACCUUUACCAGUUAUUACAGCCUCGAAGAAUCCAGAUCCAGCUAGUAAGGAACCUGCACGUGAAGCAGUUUUGCCUAAGGGAACCUGGUUGGUAAGAUGAAUCCCGAAAAUGGCUUCAACAUGCUUCAACGCUCCUGCUUCUAUCAUCUUCUUUGCUCCGGCAAAAACUUCUUCAGCUGGCUGGAAGAUAAGCACCACAGUUCCCUAACAACAAAACAAAGUAUUGAUUAGGUUAGUUUUACUGAUGAAAGCAACAUGCUAACGUAGAAUGCGUUUUAUAAAACCUGCAAAUCUUGGUGAUGUUCUUUAAGAAUUUUGGCAGCACCAAGAAGCAUAGCGACAUGACCAUCGUGUCCACAAGCAUGCAUUUUACCAGGAACUUUGCUCUUGUGCUCCCAUUCAACAUCUUCCUGAUUUCGAGAAUCAAAUCAGAUUUUAUAUUACAGCUCUGAUCUUGAUUGGGACAUUUUACCAGAUAUCCGAAGAAUCAAACCAAACUAAAAAUCGGAAAUUGGACAAUACCAUAAACAUCAAAAAGGUAAAAAAAAUCGGUUAUAUCCGAACCUGAUUUGAUUGAAUGGAUAUCUAAAUAUAUAAAAGAUAUUUUUUAACGUAAUAAUAUAAAUUAUAUUUAAAUUGAAAAUGACCAUCUAUAAUAAAUAUAAUCCAUAAAUUUACGAUAAAAAUAAUUGAAAAACCAAACUCUCGAAAUUAUCAAAAUUAUUCAAAAUUAUCUGAAUAUAUUAUUUAAAACAUAUAAAUUAUCUGAAUUAUCUAAUAUUUUUAUUUGAACUACCAAUCUUUAUGUAUUUAAUAUCUGAUGUUUUACUCAUUUUUUCUAGAUAUUAUAUCCGAUUGAUUGAAUGGGUAUCCAAAUAUAUAAAAAUAUGUUUUUAUACAUAAUAAUAUAAAUUGUAUUUAAAUUGAAAAUGACCAUUUAUCAUAAAUAUAAUCCAUAAUCUACUAUAAAAAUAUUUAAAAAACCAAACUCUCGAAAUUAUCAAAACUAUUCAAAAAUUAUCUGAACAUUUUAUUGAAAAUAUUUAAAUUAUCUGAAUUAUCUAAUAUUUUUACUCUAACUAUCCAAACUUUAUGAUAUUUUAUCUAAAUUGACCCGAACUGUGGACUGGACUAAUUGAGCCUAUCCAAACCAUAUUUUUCCUCUUUAGAUGGAUCAUAAACUCCCCUAUCUGAACUAUCUAUACCCAAAAUAACCAAUCAAACAUAAUGGCCUAGAAAUGAUAGUGCACCUGCAUAGGUAACGCAUCCAUAUCAGCUCUUAGAGCGACGAACGGCGGUUCUCCCGUGCCGACAUAACCAAAAACGCCGGUGACAGCAACUGGAUACUUGUAGUUAACGCCCAUCAGGUCUAGCUCCGACCUAAUGAGUUUACUGGUCUCGAACUCCUCGAAACCCAGCUCCGGGUUCUCGUGGAGUUUCCUUCUGAUUCCCACCAUCCAAUCGAAAACCUCAGGACUCUUGGCGUACUCGAGGAACUUCGUUGGCCUUCGAGACGCAUCGUCGGUGAUCCAUGAAGAUUCAGAUGAAACAUGAAGUAGAAGGAGAAGCUGGAAAGUCAAACUGAAGAUCCAAAAGUUAUUGAUAGCCAUGGGAGCAAGAAGACAAGACAACAAAUCUCUAUUCAAUAGCUUGCUUUGUUGUAUUAAUGUAGAUGAGAGAGUAUGAGACUGUCACGAAUUCAUGAUAUUAUAUUAUUAUUAUACAAAACGUUUUUUAUUUGAUUGGAUUAAUUAAAAUAUUGGUUGUUGUUCUAUCGACUAUAAAGAAACAAAUAGUGUUUGGAGACUUUUGUAUGAUAACAUUUUGGAGCAUGAUUAAUGGGAUUUCCUAAGGUGGAAUUUUUAGAGAAAUAUAAGAAACUUUAAGAAACCCCAUUAAUCAUGCUCUUAACAUAAAACAAUGAUUUAGUUUAAUACAGUUAGACUUUUCGCUCUCUUGUCUUCACCACCAAGUGAGUAGUCACCUUAAAGCAAAGUUAUAUUGUUACAAAAUCAGUAAAUGACAUAAAUCUUAAUAUGUAACCAAAACAAAAAGGACUGGUCACAUUUAUUCAUAAAUCACAAUCAUAUGAUAUGUUGAGUGUGAGAAAGGUACAGAACAACACAUCUAAAAGAAACUAAGAUGUGUUUCACAAACUCUUACAAUUAUUUCACAACUGGCAUAAUUUUCAGGAACCCCUGAAUAUUUAUGAUGCCUGAAAGUUCUCAAACCAAAGCCUUUUCACUUCACUUAGUGAUCUCUUUAGUCACAGGAGGAAUAUGGACAACUCCGUUACAGAUUUCACUGUCAGGAGAAGGCGUCUCGUGCGUCUCUUUCUUCUGCUCAGAUAUAUUCUUAGGGCCCAAGAAACUUAGCUGAUUAGUAGAAGACAACAGCCUUGCCCACAUUCUAUCGGUAAUCACCACACUGUUCUGUUUCUCUGUUAUCCUCUGCACAAAAACAAAAAGAUCAAAUCAGGACUAAUCUGUCAGGAGUCCAUUGCAACAUCUCUAGUCACAAUUCAGAUUGAUUAGUAACUUACGUAGAAAGGGAUGUAUGUUUGUCUUCCAUGGACAAGACCACUGGUGUAGCCAGUGUAACCAGCCAUUGCACCAUGAACCGCGCUCUGAGCUAGAAGUGUACAGUAAACAUUGUCUGCCGCAUUGCUUGGAAUCGCCCUGAUCAUGUAUGUAGGAUCUAAAAGCAAGAAACAAAAACUAAGUUUAAAAGAAGAGUAAAUCUAACUACUUGAAAAAGGGGUUAUGAUUUUUGUUACCAAUAUAUUUGAGAUUCAUCACCAUCUUGAUCUUCUUGAAAUGAUCCUAUCACCAUUAAAUAAAGUAAAAAAAAAACAAUAUUCAUGAGGUUUCAUUGUAAUGGCAUAAGCGAAAGUGUUGAGUCUUUUUUUUUUCUUUUUUUUACCUUGAUGCUUUGUGAUAGCCACAAGCCGACAUCUUUAAGAACCUUGUUACCAGACGCGUCCUCAAGAGUAGUAGACUCCAUGCUUUUGGUCAUCAUUUCUUGUCCUGCUCCUUCGGCAAGAACAAUCACCAUGUGACCAUGCUCCUUGAGCCUUUUCUCUAUGUACUCAAAGAGUCCACCUUCUCCUUCCAGGUAAAAUGGUGACUCUGGAAUCAAGCAGCAAUCAACAUCUCUGCUUGCUAACGUAGCAUACAUCGCUAUAAAACCUGUAGUAUUUCAUCAAAUAGUCUAUAAUCAUUAAACUGUAACGUUUUUUUUUUGCUUAAAUCAUUAAACUGUAACGUUCAAAGCAAAACACACAAGAAGAGAAAAAACUUACCACUGUGACGACCCAUAAGCUUAACAAAACCGAUACCAUUCUCAUUACUCUCAGCUUCAACAUGUGCUGCGUUGAUCGCUCGCUGAGCUUCCUCCACAGCAGUGUCAAACCCAAAAGAUCUAUCUAUUACUGGUAUGUCGUUAUCGAUCGUCUUCGGGAUUCCAACCACAGCAACUUUAAGUCCACGCUUUCUGAUCUCCUACAUGGUUUCAACACAAAUCUUUAUUCAGCUAUUAAUUUAUUAAAGCUUACAACUUAAUUAAUAUUAUGUCGUAAUCACAAUGGCUAGCGUUAUUUUACCUCAAAUAUCUUCGAAGCUCCUCUCUGUGUUCCGUCUCCACCAAUGAUAUAAACCUGGUUGAUACCUCGCUCUUGGAUGCUAUCAACAAUCUUUUUGGUAUCAUGCCCACCUCGUGAGGUUCCCAAGAUUGUUCCUCCUCGUUUGUGGAUAUCGUUCACGACUUUAGAGGUUAAGGGGAUAGUGUUCUUUGCAUAGAAUCCUCUGUAUCCACCCUGUUACAUAUGAGAAUCAUUAGGACAAUAGCUGCGAUAUAUCAAACUGUAGACGAAGAGAUUAGUAUUAUGUUUUCACAAAACUUACAUCGAUUCCAAGGAUUCUUUUUACUCCGUACAUGUGAGACAAGCUGCUCACAAUUUCUCUAAUCACGGUAUUGAGGCCAGGACAGAGACCUCCACAUGUAACAAUACAAGCAUGGACUUCAUCUGACUCAAAGUAAACCUUUUGGCGUGGACCAGCGCGUCUGAAAUGGAUUCCUCUUGGACCAUCCUUGUGGACUAUAAUCUGAAUAACAAGAACAAAAAUAAAAAUAAAACAUUUUCCUCAAUAGUUUCUGAGUUAUACAUAAAUCAUCUAAACACCAUUUUCACGCAGUUAGGGUAAAAAGAAGGAUUGUGCUUGAUGAAAUUUACCUUCUCAGGUACAGUAUCCUCUGUAUCAACAAAGUAUUGCCUGACAAAACAAAAACCAAGAAAACCCAAAAUCAAAAACUAUGAAUCCUUAUUAAGCAAUGAAAACGUCUAAAGAUAGGUAAAAAAAUACUUACUUAACCACUGAGUAAGCUGGAUUGUCUUUUAAUGGAUUCUGAUAAGUCUGCAAGCAACAUAUACCGUCAAACAUAUCAAAAUUAUUGAACCCAAAGCAAAAGACUCAAUAUAAGAUAUGAUCUCUCUGUGAACUUUACAAAUCAAUAAGGCGACAAGCAGAGAUCCAAGUGUAACGUACAGGAAGAUCAGGAAGAUAAUCGAUGAGAUGAGGAACGUCUUGUAGUAUAUAACCACCGGGACCGUUGACGAUCUUCGGACUAGACAUAAUCAGAAGAUGUAAGAGAGUGAGAGACGAAGAACUUUUCUCGCUUUUUCUUAGACGGGUAAUCUGAUCAAACAGGUGGUUGGCCUCAAAUAAAACUUUUAAACAUGAGUGUGUGUGUGUAUGCAAUUGGGUACAGGAUUCUCGUGUAUAUAUAUGUAAAUGCAGGAAAAAAAGAACUUUCAAACUUGGAGAAGAUUAUUCACAUUAUUCUAGAACAGUUUUAAGUGUCCAUCAACGGACAUAGUUGACUUUGGGGUUUGGAGAAGUAAUUUAAGUUAACUAUUUGUAAAAUAGUAUUUUAUUCAUUCGUUUCAAAUAGUACCGCUUUUAACCUUUUAUGGGUUUUAAACAAAGAAAUAUUAAUUUGUCCAAAAAAAAAGCAAAGAAAUAUUAAUAUAUAAAAAUUUAUGAUUUAUUUUUAAUAAAUUUAUUACAAAAACUACGAAUUUUUUUUUCAAUCUAAUUUUCUUUAUAAUUAAUUUUUUUUAUUAUAAAAUAGUGUUUUUAACUAUUUAGUUUAUGUAGUAUGAGGUUGCGUCUUGACCGGUUCCACCUUUUGUCUUUUCUAAUCAGUAGGCCUGUUUCAAGGUUGAAGGAAUAUUCUGACGUUAAAGAAGCAUAAUCUCUUGAUUAAAAAAAGAAGACAAAUCAGAUUUGAUGUGCCGGCUGUCUCUAUUUUACGUUUGUAUAUUUGUUUAAUAGUUCUCGUAAAUCUUUUUGCCUUAUUUUUUUGGGAUGUCAUGUAUCAAGCAACUCUAUGCUGCUAACAAAGAGAUAAUCUUAUUUUAAUAUUUCUAAAAUUCAGAAAGAGUUGACGAAAGCCUAUAAAGUUCACAAUUCUAUUGCUUAUUCGUUUUAAACAAAUACAAAAUCAUUUGUAUAUAAUUAUUUUUGGAAACAACUCGUGUAUAAUUCAUUAAAAUAAAUUAUACACGUGAAACCAUAUGAAUCAUCGAGUGUUCUGGAAUCGAUUAUUCUGUUGAUGGUCAACUGAAACCAAUGAAACUGCUCAAAGAACCAGAAUAAAAUACUACAAGUGAAAAAUGUGUAUUAUUGUGGCCGUUUUUUUCUGUUUUCUACAUACCAUUUAUAAUAUACUUUUAUUGUUCUUUAAAAUAUAAAAAUUAAAAUAAAAGAAAAUUUAUUUCCUAAUUGUAGCAUUUCCAGUUUUUUGUUUAGACUUACAAUCUAGCUAAAUAAAGAGAAAUAUAUCUUCUACAUGAAGAUUAUGUACAAGGUUGAUUUUAAUAAUAAAGUUGCUGUUAGAAAAAAAAAAGAGAAAUAUAUCUUUCAAAACGUUUCAGAACACUAUAUUUUCCUAACAAACUUUGGGAAUAUGAAAAUAAUAAUAAAGUACAGAAUUAUAAAAUUUUGAUUUAUUAGAUAUUUAAAACCAACAGAGUGACUUUUACUAAUUACACUAAAGUCCAUAACAAAUAAUAUAUUGUCACCCUUUAGCUGAUUGGGUGGUUUCCAGGAUUUCUUAAAAAUGUGAUUCGCACAAAUCAUUAAAAAAAAAUCCUUGUGUGAUAUCAAAUGAAAAUCCUAGUGUUAUUUUACAAUCUUUUCAUUAUUGUUAUUUUAAUGUUAGACUGAAAGAUUUUUUAAGAAAAUUUAGAAAAGGCUAAAAAUGAAUUAAGUGUUCUAUUAUUUAUCAAACAAAUCUUUCCAUUUUCCUUGAACUUGAUUUGAGUUUCCAUUUAUUAAAAUGGAGUAUUAUUUUUCUCUUUUUUUCAAUUUAUCAUUUACCAACAUACGACGGUUUACCGUGAAAUACAAUAGUCUUUUUUUUUCUACAUACGACAGUUUGAUAGUUGUACUGACACGUGUCGUUCAUGUACAUCUAUUUGCGUAAAUGCCACUACUACCUCCACACACACACAAACACUUUAUAGUUUCAACUCAACUCUUAUCUCUGGAACAUUCUGAUUAACCACAGAAGAAGCAGAGCUAAGCAGACGAAGAUGUCGUGGCAGACCUACGUCGACGACCACUUGAUGUGCGAUCUCGGGGACGGGCAGCGCCUCACCGCCGCCGCAAUUAUCGGCCAAGACGGUAGCGUCUGGGCUCAGAGCGCAACUUUCCCUCAGGUUAGGGUUUGUUUCUUCAGCCACUGAUGUUUACUGAGUUUUCAUCGAGUUCCUAUAUGAAUAGAUUGAAUCAUUUUAGUUCAGAUCACAAGUUCAAAGCUUUACAAGCAGAAAGUUGCGACUUUGGACAUGAACAUGUGUUUUUUUUUUUAAAUGUGGUAUGAGUUUGGUCUCCUGAUUCUCAUACUGUUUUCUCACAAAGCUUCACAUGUGUUAACUUGUUUUAGUUGAAGUCUGAGGAAAUCGAAGGCAUCAACAAAGACUUCACCGAACCUGGAACACUUGCACCGACGGGAUUAUUCAUCAAUGGCGCAAAGUACAUGGUAAUCCAGGGAGAGCCAAACGCUGUGAUUCGAGGAAAGAAGGUAAACUUGAGUUGAUCUCGAUGAACCUUUUUUUUUCUUUUGUUGUUUUUAUGAACCAAUGUAAGUUUUUGCUUCUAUUGUAGGGGGCUGGUGGUGUUACCAUCAAGAAGACCACCCAAGCCUUAGUCUUUGGUAUCUAUGAGGAUCCAGUGACUCCUGGACAGUGCAAUAUGGUUGUGGAGAGGCUCGGUGACUACCUCAUUGAAUCAGGGCUCUGAAAUCUAACCUGAUGUUGCUCAUAUUAUAUUCUAGUUAAACUGUGAGAGAAAAUCUAUUUAUAUAUGUUGAAUGUGAUGAAUCAUUUAAAAGUCAGGCUGCCUUUUACUACCUACCAUGUGAUGAAUUGUAUGAUUCUUAAACUAUUGUCUUCAUGUGUCAGAGUUGAAAUUUUUAAUGAAUGGUGGUAUGGUACCAUUACAUUAGUUCUACAGAUUGAGAUUUUUUUUUUGUGAAUUGCAAUGAAGAUAGAUUCAGAUUAUAGACACAGGUAAUUCAACUGCACCAUGAGUUUUCAGAUAGAAUGUCUGUACAACAAGGCCACUUCAGGAAGAAAGAUAAAAUCUUUGUUGGUCACCAAGACCAAACCGUUGAGGAACAAAUGUUAUAUUUUCUUGCUAUUGCUACAUACAUCUAGAUCGUCGGCGCUUCUCCCGUAGCAGACUCCGACCUUGCACCGUUGCAACUGUCUGUAAACAAAAAAUGGGGGAAGAGAAGACAGAAUCAGUUGUUUUCUUUCCGACCAAAUUUGUAUUUUAGGAUCAGGAAUGAGGGUUUCAAGAACUGAGAUUGUAGCUCAAGUUCUACACAAGAAACUUAAAGGAAUCAAUGGAUUGAAGCUGAAGAUGGGGAAACUAGUGAAUGCUGAGCAAAAUACAGGCUUUUCUUUUUGAUAUCUGUCCAUAAAUACCGGAGAUAACCGAGGGAAUAUUUUUAAACCGUGCUUAGACUAAUGGGUCGAUUAAGGGCCCAUUUAAAUCUUACUAUGCCCGUCUUAUCUCCGUAAUUAAUUUUCCCGGUCUCACGCGUUCAAAAUAAUGUCCGUUACCACGAAGAAUCGUUUCUUCUCACUUUCUCUUUCUAAAAAAACUGCUUAUUUAGAGAGAGAGCCAAAGCGAAAGCGACAAUCCCUAGAUGGCGCCGAUGAAGCUCAAAUCAAACUUGAAGCAGCUUAAACUCUCCGUUCCAGCUCAAGAAACCCCAAUCUCUUCCUUCUUGUAAGUUCUCCCGAUUAGAAAUCGCACUUCUGAUUGAUUAUCAUCAAAUUUGCAUCGAUAAUAAGUUGGAUCCUGAACUUCCCGAUUGCACUACGAUAUUUUUUUUUUUUUUUGUGAUUUGAACCAUUUUUCUGGAUUUGAUCGAAUUCAAUUGAAAUCUCAAAAUGGAACUUGGUUUGUUUAAUUGGUGAAUUGCGUACAGGACUGCAAGUGGAACGUUUCACGAUGGAGAUUUUCUACUGAACCAGAAGGGGCGGAGGCUGAUCUCUGAUGAGAAGCAAUCAACGGUAACUUCGCUGACCUCAAACAUUAAUCCAUUGUUGUAUAGAAGAAAGCAAGUAAGGACAAUUCAUUGUGUGUGUUUUUGUUGUUAAUAGCCAUCUGAUAGCAAGGAGCUUGAUUUUGAAAUCACUGCUGAAGACUUGGAGACUGUGAAAGUCAUAGGAAAAGGCAGCGGCGGAGUUGUUCAGUUAGUUCGGCAUAAAUGGGCUGGCAAACUAUUUGCUAUGAAGGUACGUUCUCUUAUUUGAAUCUUCAAGAGUUUAUUAUCUGUUCUGUAAUGAGUUCAAGAGCAUUUGGGGGUUUGAGUUUGUUCAUUUUUUUUUUAUGAAUCACAGGUCAUACAGAUGAACAUACAAGAAGAAAUCCGAAAGCAAAUUGUGCAGGAGCUCAAGAUAAACCAAGCAUCGUCUCAGUGUCCACAUGUGGUUGUCUGCUACCACUCUUUCUAUCACAAUGGAGCCUUUUCCCUUGUGCUUGAGUAUAUGGACCGUGGAUCUCUUGCGGAUGUGAUUCGACAAGUGAAGACUAUUCUCGAGCCUUACCUUGCUGUUGUCUGUAAACAGGUCCAAUUGAAACGUCCUAUACUCCACCAAAUGGUUUAAAGCAUUCUCAUGAUUUAACACGCUUUACUUAUUUUCCCCCCUCUUGUAUACAGGUUUUGCAAGGACUUGUGUACCUUCACAACGAAAGACAUGUCAUACACAGAGACAUUAAACCAUCAAACCUUCUUGUCAACCAUAAAGGAGAAGUCAAAAUCUCAGAUUUUGGUGUCAGUGCAAGUCUUGCUAGCUCCAUGGGACAGAGGGACACCUUUGUUGGAACCUACAACUAUAUGUC